RNAcentral lists this small RNA (1241 nucleotides) under Vigna angularis var. angularis. RNAcentral's name for it is "Non-protein coding transcript". The record is from RNAcentral. Lineage: Eukaryota; Viridiplantae; Streptophyta; Magnoliopsida; Fabales; Fabaceae.
AUAAAUGAUUGAGCUGAAAUGCUAUGUGUGAAAUGUUAAUCUGAAAAGAGUAUGCAGUUGAAUCAAUAUCUUCAUGUGUGUGCUGUUCUGGGAAUAGGAAAUAGUAAAAUGGAAGUCACACCUUCUCCCCUUCUGUGGAAAAACAACACAGUCCACCAUAUGAUGCAGAGAAGGUACAUCCACUGCUCUUAAAACUCUCACAUCUCCCGGGUGCAGACAAGGGUUUUUGGCAACUACUACCUUUCCCUUAACAAUAUGUUUGCUUUUGUUGGAUGCAUUUCUGUUAGAAGAAAGAGAGGACAUAGCAAGAUUUUGCUUAUUUCUUUGGUGAGCUAUCUGCACGAAUACCUCUCCAUAUUUUAGAGUUCUAGUUUCAUCCAAGCAUCCUAACAAUGCUCUUCCCUUCUUAACAAGUAUCCUAGUUUUGAGCUGCAAUUCCUGUAAUUUUGAUGCAUAUAAUGUUUGCAACAUCAUGGAGAGAAAUGGUUCCUUAAUUGGAUGAAAGCCACAAAUGAGCAUUUCCUUUAAAACCUUUGCAAUCUCUCCUGUGGACAUAUAAUCUAAUACCAUCAAGGGACUUCUUGAUAGCAUUUUAAGUUGAUUAAGGACCUCUCUUUGUUUCUUUCUGAAGACUCGGUCCUGGACCCCCAGGGUGGACAAGAGGGCUAUUAUUUGACGAUUAAGGUAACAAGGUUUGUAUUUGCUCCAUGCCAAAACAUCUAAUUUUGUGUUUUCUGACUUGUACUUGCACAUGCUCUUUCUUAAGGACAGUUUAGUUGAUGAGGUAGGAUCAACAGCAACAACACCUUUGUACCCUCCAUAUCUGAUUUGAAAUGCAGAUGGAGUAUUAUCCCCACAACCACAUUUCUCAGCCACUUCUUGAGCUAAUUCAUAAGAUAUCUUCCCAAUUCCAUCAGAGAAACAGUAUUUGGUUUCACCCCUUCUAAAUUCUAUAUCAGGAAUAAUUUUAAUUUCAUGUCUGCCAACGCUCACUGUUUCCCUGGAAGAACUGAAUGAUUGCCCCAGCCUUGCUGCAUAUUUGGCCACAUUUCUAAUUUCAUGAAACUCUCCCAUCCACUUUCUUAUAUCAGAUGCAGUAAGUCCAGUUCUUGAUGCAACCAUCCACACAGAGUUAUCCCGCAACUGACUUGCUUUGUUUCUCUGUCCAUGUCUGCAACCAAAUCUGAUGAAUGAAGUUUAUCCAUGUCUUCAUCAAGGAAAGAAACACGAAGAAAGUUAUC